UGCAGUCGAGCGAUGAUGAGGAGCUUGCUCCUCUGAUUUAGCGGCGGACGGGUGAGUAACACGUGGGUAAUCUGCCUGUAAGACGGGGAUAACUCCGGGAAACCGGGGCUAAUACCGGAUAAUAAGAGAAGAAGCAUUUCUUCUUUUUGAAAGUUGGUUUCGGCUGACACUUACAGAUGAGCCCGCGGCGCAUUAGCUAGUUGGUGAGGUAACGGCUCACCAAGGCGACGAUGCGUAGCCGACCUGAGAGGGUGAUCGGCCACACUGGGACUGAGACACGGCCCAGACUCCUACGGGAGGCAGCAGUAGGGAAUCUUCGGCAAUGGGCGAAAGCCUGACCGAGCAACGCCGCGUGAGCGAUGAAGGCCUUCGGGUCG
This 377-nucleotide ribosomal RNA is filed under the name Fictibacillus barbaricus. RNAcentral describes it as "bacterial SSU rRNA". It matches the Rfam family "Bacterial small subunit ribosomal RNA", at positions 56 to 425 of the family's 1533-position model. The record is from RNAcentral. Lineage: Bacteria; Bacillati; Bacillota; Bacilli; Caryophanales; Fictibacillaceae.